RNAcentral lists this ribosomal RNA (195 nucleotides) under uncultured Solibacillus sp. RNAcentral describes it as "partial 16S ribosomal RNA". It matches the Rfam family "Bacterial small subunit ribosomal RNA", at positions 337 to 524 of the family's 1533-position model. The record is from RNAcentral. Lineage: Bacteria; Bacillati; Bacillota; Bacilli; Caryophanales; Caryophanaceae.
UCCUACGGGAGGCAGCAGUAGGGAAUCUUCCACAAUGGACGAAAGUCUGAUGGAGCAACGCCGCGUGAGUGAAGAAGGAUUUCGGUUCGUAAAACUCUGUUGCAAGGGAAGAACAAGUAGCGUAGUAACUGGCGCUACCUUGACGGUACCUUGUUAGAAAGCCACGGCUAACUACGUGCCAGCAGCCGCGGUAAU